Molecule: long non-coding RNA, 439 nt
Organism: Antechinus flavipes (yellow-footed antechinus)
Lineage: Eukaryota; Metazoa; Chordata; Mammalia; Dasyuromorphia; Dasyuridae
Exons: 2
Source: RefSeq, a predicted model, not a curated record
GGCAAGGAAAGUCACAUCAUUCAGGUUGUUUUGCUCCUCAUGCCACGAAUCCCAAUGAAGAAGAAGCUGAGCUCUACUACAAGACUCUGAGGAUUGCUCUAUCUCUGUCCUUCACUUCCCAUUUUCGACUGCACCUCCAGGCCAUGGGAAUAGGGCUCAUUCUGACCACUAGCCAUAUUUAAGGGAGGUUCACCAUCUCCUCCAUCAAGGAACUUGCUCAGGGGAACAAAGAUGAUACCACCACAUUCUGAAGACAAGAAACCAGAUUUUCCUGAAGAGUAAGAACAAAUCUCUUUCUAUGAAAAGAGAUUCUUUUUAUUUCUUCUGUCUCUUAGAAGUCUGCAACUCAAGGACAAGUAUUGACUUUUACCUCUUUGGGAAUCCCCAGUGGCAUCUGGACAGAUCCUAUGUGUUUAAUAAAUGUUCACUGAUUGAUUAA